RNAcentral lists this ribosomal RNA (261 nucleotides) under uncultured bacterium. Its description in RNAcentral is "partial 16S small subunit ribosomal RNA". It matches the Rfam family "Bacterial small subunit ribosomal RNA", at positions 392 to 645 of the family's 1533-position model. The record is from RNAcentral.
CAACGCCGCGUGCGGGUAAGAAAGCCUUCGGGGUGUAAACCGCUGUUCAGGAGGACGAGCCACUCGGGUGAACAGCCUAGAGGGUGACGGUACCUCCAGGGUAAGCCCCGGCUAACUACGUGCCAGCAGCCGCGGUAAUACGUAGGGGGCUAGCGUUGUCCGGAAUUAUUGGGCGUAAAGCGCGUGUAGGCGGCUUGGCAAGUCCGAUGUGAAAGCUCGGGGCUCAACCCCGAGUCCUGCAUUGGAAACUGCCUUGCUUGA